This 624-nucleotide ribosomal RNA is filed under the name uncultured cyanobacterium. Its description in RNAcentral is "bacterial SSU rRNA". It matches the Rfam family "Bacterial small subunit ribosomal RNA", at positions 1 to 670 of the family's 1533-position model. The record is from RNAcentral. Lineage: Bacteria; Bacillati; Cyanobacteriota.
GCUUAGAGUUUGAUCCUGGCUCAGGAUGAACGCUGGCGGCGUGCUUAACACAUGCAAGUCGAACGAAGCUUUUCGGAGCUUAGUGGCGGACGGGUGAGUAACGCGUGAGGACCUGCCCUUAGGAGGGGGACAACAGUUGGAAACGACUGCUAAUACCCCAUGAGCCGAGAGGUGAAACAUUUUAUGGCCUAAGGAUGAACUCGCGUCUGAUUAGCUAGUUGGUGGGGUAAGGGCUUACCAAGGCGACGAUCAGUAGCUGGUCUGAGAGGAUGACCAGCCACACUGGGACUGAGACACGGCCCAGACUCCUACGGGAGGCAGCAGUGGGGAAUUUUCCGCAAUGGGGGCAACCCUGACGGAGCAACGCCGCGUGAGGGAGGAAGGCCUGUGGGUUGUAAACCUCUUUUCUCAGGGAAGAAGUACUGACGGUACCUGAGGAAUCAGCAUCGGCUAACUCCGUGCCAGCAGCCGCGGUAAUACGGAGGAUGCAAGCGUUAUCCGGAAUUAUUGGGCGUAAAGCGUCCGUAGGCGGUUAUUUAAGUCUGCUGUCAAAGACUGCAGCUCAACUGUGGGCAGGCAGUGGAAACUGAGUAACUAGAGAGCGGCAGGGGUAGAGGGAAUUCC